Molecule: unclassified non-coding RNA, 200 nt
Filed under: soil metagenome
Description: partial contains internal transcribed spacer 2 and large subunit ribosomal RNA
Source: RNAcentral
CUCCGGGAGAGAGCGCUGGUGCUGGGGAUCGGCCGCCCUUCUCGCGGCGGCGGCCCUGAAAUAUAGUGGCGGUCUCGACGCGAUCUCCUCUGUGCAGUAGUGAUACCUCGCAGCUGGAAUAGCGACCUGGCCACGCCGUAAAACGCAUAAACUUUUACGUGGUUGACCUCGGAUCAGGCAGGAAUACCCGCUGAACUUAA